GAUCCUGGCUCAGGACGAACGCUGGCGGCGUACCUAACACAUGCAAGUCGAACGGAGAAUUUUAUUUCGGUAGAAUUCUUAGUGGCGAACGGGUGAGUAACGCGUAGGCAACCUGCCCUUUAGACGGGGACAACAUUCCGAAAGGAGUGCUAAUACCGGAUGUGAUCAUCGUGCCGCAUGGCAGGAUGAAGAAAGAUGGCCUCUACAAGUAAGCUAUCGCUAAAGGAUGGGCCUGCGUCUGAUUAG
RNAcentral lists this ribosomal RNA (246 nucleotides) under uncultured bacterium. RNAcentral's name for it is "partial 16S ribosomal RNA". It matches the Rfam family "Bacterial small subunit ribosomal RNA", at positions 15 to 244 of the family's 1533-position model. The record is from RNAcentral.